Long non-coding RNA from Tripterygium wilfordii, 791 nucleotides. RefSeq lists it as uncharacterized. Lineage: Eukaryota; Viridiplantae; Streptophyta; Magnoliopsida; Celastrales; Celastraceae. The transcript is spliced from 4 exons. The record is from RefSeq and is a predicted model, not a curated record.
UUUGUGCGCGUGGUCUUUCACUAUUCUCUCUUUCAUAUACACGAUUCACUCUCUCCGGGUGAGUAUGUCCUGAUAGAGAUGACGAUUCCCGCGAUUGUUCUUUCUUUUGGGUCGAUUUUGAUCUCUUUAUGAAUUAUUGCGGUAGUUUAUGAUGUCGUGUUGGGUUUCGAUUCCUUCCCUCUCUACCAGAGUUUUAACUCCAUUAAUUUUUUGGAAGUAGGCCUACUACUUGCCACCGGUGCUUACUACCCAGUUGAGGAUUAUAGCCUCCGACUCGCUCGGGUAACCUGCAACAAAAGGGGGAACUGACCGUUGUCUCUGGCAAGCUUUUUGAAGUCGACAAAUGGGCCUGAACUUGGUUUGGGAAUUUUGCCAGUUUAUUGCUCUUGAUUUUGAACUGGGCUUAAAACUUACUCUCGAUCGGUACACAAUGUUGGAUUUUGCACACUUGCUUUGAUGGUGGGGCUUUCAAUUGGUUCUGUAAUGAAUUUUUGUUAUGUCUGUUCUAUUACGUAGAACGACACAAUUAUGUCUCAAAUAUUUUCCUAUUUUAUUAGUUGCAUUGGUUAAUGAUAUUCUUACCUAAUUGCAGUAAACUGCGAGGAGAGAAAGGGGUUUGUUCCUUCUACUGCCAGUGCAAAAUGCAUUCAAGGAUGAGCUGCAAGAUGCGGUGGACAAAAGCUGCCAGAAGGCUUGCGGGAUUGAUUAACUUGCAGAGAUUACAUGAUAUUUUUUUUGGCAUGAUCUAUUUGGUUGUAUGAUUUUUAUGAUUUCUUUGACUGGUAUGUGGG